GGCAGAGCUCCAUACAGAAUGAUCUUCUACCCAAUCAUAGAAAUCUACCAUGCCAUUAAGUUCAGAGGAAAUGCCUAUCAGUCACUGUAUCGAUUGCCUAACAGAGGAAUACUCCUGAAAUUUUCUAAAGAUGUAUCUCACAUUUCUGUUGGCAUAUGCUGCCUUCCCAUAUAUCUUCAUCAAGUGAAUAAGUUUGCCACUGAGCACUUCCAUGCAAACACUGAUGAUCUCACUGCUUUGGAGACUGCUGUUUACUUGGCAAAGUUAAUAAAGGUGAAUGCAAGAUGACUUCCAAACCAGGCUUUAAUGCUUAUGAAGACAGUGUCAAAAUCUGAAAACGUUUAGAGGUGCUAUUAAUUCUGCACAUUCAUAUGGAAAGAAUGCUUUGUCAGAAUCUGUUUUGUUCUGCUCGAUGACUUGUGUAUAUAGAAAGAUGAGAUUUUAUACUGAACUGUAGACUCAUUAUUCCUUUCAGAGAAUGACUGAAAUGAUUGUCCUUCUUUGCCGUACUUACGGAGAUUUAUAGCCUUGUCUUUUAGCCUGAUGUACCAUAUAUCUUUUUCACAGACCAAUAUUAAAUCCAGUUUUCCUUGAAAGGCUUCCAUUGUAAAAGUAAGAGAUGACUGGGCUGCUGCACCAGGGAACUUUUAGGAGCUGAGGCAAUUCUGAAUGAAGAUAUUUAUCUAGAAGGGAACUAUCUGUGCAGUAUCAAAGUACGUAUGCAUGGAUGGAACCACUGACAUACUGGGAAUAUACUGUCAUGAUUAUUUUAAUGCUGUUAUUUUAAUUGUUUAGUUGAACAAGACUGAUCUGAUGGGGUAUGCUAAUAGCUAAAUUCCUCUGAGAGGAAUCUGCCUCCAUUCAUUAACAUUACUGACCAAGAUUAGUUGCCAGCAUGUUCUUGUGGGAGAUGACAGAACAGGCUGUGGUGCAGUACCUCCUCCUCAGGGAUUCAGCUGUAUUUUAAUGAUCAAGUUCUCUUUCAGCUCAACAGAUAUAGAAUUUACAGUCUUUCUUCUGUCCACUUAAGUUUACUUAUUUAAGACUCUACCACCAAGCCAGUGCAGAAAUCACACAGCCUUCUAGUGCAAUACCUGCAGUAACGCACAUUACCAUCUCAGCACGUCUUGCUAUUUCAGGGUUUCUUAAUUAACACAAGACAAAUGAAACCACAGGACUCACACUUGCAAAUGUAUUUGGUUGGAGGAUCUAUAAACUCAAAGCAAACCCAAAACCCAGUUUUGGACAUUCUCUUCUACUGUUCACUGCAUACAGCUCUUAUACAGGCUUGUUUGGACACCCCUCUCAUCAUCCUCACCAGUGACUUUUAUUUUCUAUAAUUCUUGGUUAUUUUAAAAUGUAGUGAUUAGAUGGCAAGUAUGAAAAAGCAAGCAAACAAUUAUGAGAAAGAAUGGUUCUAAUUUUCUUUUGAUUUUUCUUUGGACUGUGGUGAUUCUCACAAGAAUAUCCUGUGCUGCCUUGGAAAGAAACGACUGUUCAAACAGGAUGUUCCAUUAUUUUGUUAUGUAGACCUAUUAUUUAUUGAUUUAACCAAUUUAUUAUUGAUUACUCCAAUGGUAGGCAAACCUCUUCUAUGGAACUUUCACAAUAAAUGAAAAAAAAAAGAUCAAAAUAGAUAUCUAAUUUCAAAGGUCUGAGAGAAUGAUGAGCAAAUUGAGUCAACAGAAAUCAAAUAAAACUAUGCAGCAAGAUAGAGUUUGCCCUGUUUUACCCUGAGUGCAUCAUGCAGAUGAUACAUGUAAGAAUGGACAUGGCAUUAGAACUAUACUAACAGGGAAUACCUUCCUAACAUGUUGUAGUUUGGGAUUGGCUCUGCACCUUGAGAAACUAGCAAAGCUGAUUUGUCAUGGGAAGUCGUCUUCGCUUUAAGUGCAAGGGAAAUACACAGCCCUAGGCUAUUUUCACUCACUUGAUCGCAAAAACAGAAAUCCACAGAACUAAGGAGGAACCAAAAACAGUGCCAGCAGCAACAAAAAGCACAAAACACUAGUAGUCACAUUACCCAUAUUUCCAUCCAGCUUUAAUCAGUCUUCUGUUUGUUUGCAAUGUACAGCAAUGCUAGCGAGAGACACAACAGCCCAUUUGCUUCACUGAGAUUUGUUUGUAAAUACUGAAUGGCGAGAUAAAAAAUUUCAAGCCAAGUGAUUUUCUUGGUGGAUAUGGGAAAGGCUGUUGACAUAGUCUGCCUAGACUUCAGCGAAGCCUUUGAUGCUGUCUCCCACAUUAUUGUCCCAGAGAAGCUGGCAGCCCAUGGCUUGGACAGUUUGCAGGUGACACCAAGUUGCGGAAGUGUGGAUCUGCCUAGAGGGAGGAAGACCUUACAGAGGGAUCUGAACAAGUUGGGAUUGACGGGCUGAAGCGAAUGGGAUGAAGAUCAGCAAGACCAAGCUGUGACAGAAAUAGUCCUCCUCAUAUAAUUGGGAUGAGACUUUUGAGUAAAGAACUGGAUGGAUUGGUCUCAUUGAUUUUACACCUUGAGCAAUCAGAGCAUUGCACAACCAAUAUUCCCACAAUCCCAAAUUGUCCCCAAACUGCAGUUAGAUGCAGUUCUUCAUAUAUGAGACACCAUAUUUUUUCUUCCAAUUUUUGCCAUCUCAAAGAGACCAGAAAGAAAAAGAGGUUAGGUUUUAUCAAAGGUCAUUUGUCACAGGCAACAAGAGGAGGAGAAUAAGGUAGAGAAGCAAUCUAGCUACUGCUUUUCUCCUUUUUUCUAUGUUAUAAGGGAGAGGGCCUGAGAAAUAAAUAAGUGCUCCUGCACCCAUCCUGUUGCAAGCCUUUGUACAGCUGAGUUCAAAAUCUAGAUCAUACUAAGGCAAAAUACUACCCAGCAAUUCUUGCUUAAAAUUGACACACACAAAAAAUUUAUAUUUUGUCUUCAUAAGAGGUGUAGUGUUCUUAAUUUCAGAAAAAAUAAGAAUCCAGCAUACGUUUUCUGUAAGCAUGCACUAGAUUAUUCAUGUUUUUUUGUAAAAAGCAUAACCUUGCUUAUCUACUCCAGCUACAGACGCUUAAUAAACUUUUUCAGAAUAAUUAAGUCAGCUCUCUGUCAUCUCACACAGCUAAUUUGACUGUUGUUUUGAAUAAAUUAUUAAUGGAAUAAAUGAAUUAAGCAACUUAUUUGUUAUUAUUUAAAUGUAACUCGUAAUUCAUAAUCACUACAACUCUUCUGUACUUUAGAAAUUAACAUUACCAUAUUUUUGCCCUCUUGCACAAUUUAUUUAAUAUCUCAAAGGCAGUGAAUAAAAACCAAGCCCCUCAGAUAGAGUAAGUCACUGCUUGUGUCCUAGUAGAGCUGGGACAGUUUAUCCAUUUUUCUGAUUAGCUUUGAUUACGCAGAUAUAAUCAGCAAUUUCUAACUUAUAACCCCAAAGGAGAAGAAGAGUAUUGAGAGAGAGAGUAAAAGACCACCGACAGAGAAUACUGGGGUUUGUCUAAGAACAGAUAAGAGGCAUCUUUUCUAGCUGCUGAAUUUUUGCAAGCACACUUCCUUGCUGUCCACCUUGGGCCGCCUCCCAUCCCUUCAGGGAGGUGGCUGCUGGUCUGGGAUGCUGGAUCAGAAAGUUGGUGCCAUCCCUACUUUGUGGCUGCUCACAUUCACACCUCCCAGUUGUUGCCGCCAAAUUCCGUGGAACAUCACCAGCCUCCAUCUCCUCACAGAUCCCUGAUCUCCAGGACCUUCUCCUACUUCUAGGAUCCUUUCUCCAGCCAAGAACUUAAAUUUAUUUUCAGGCUUACUGCUUUUUUUUCCCCAAGAACUUUUCUUCCCAGCACCCCUACCUUUUCUGGCAUGCCAAGACGCACUUUUUUCCUCAGUUUAAACAGUUUGAAGUGCAACACAGGAGCGACCUCCCAGAUGAUGGUCCUGACUUCAAUCUUGUUAAUAACUGGAGGACUUUGGAUAUGUCACACUUGUAUAGUGGUCCAGGUGUUCACAACACAACCAGUCUACCAGUCACAGGGAAGGAACAGGCAGCAGCCUUGUUGAGAGCUCAGUAGUUCACAUGUGGACAUUAACUGCACACAUACGCUUGGAUUACCUGCCACUUGCUAGAAGUCACAGCUUGAGCUAUUGUUAGCCUACAACAUGAGUAGUUAAUAUUAACGUGAUUCCACUUCCAGGAAGACAACUGGAUUAAUUUUUACUCAUUUCAAUAAUUUUCCAUAAUACAUUUUCCAAGGGCUGAUAAUCACAUACAAACAUGUUUUUCUGAAAUGGUUCAGCUAACCCAUUACAGUUGUUUGCCCACUGAAUUCAGCUACUCGUGUGUGAAUAAUAAAACUUUUCUAAAAAUGCUGUUAGCAUGAAGAGCUUUCAGAAGUGUAUUUUGAGCUGAUUAACAGUUCUGUUUGUAUUACAAACAUGGUCCUUUAGAGAAUUAAGGAGCAAAAAGCAUUUUCAGGUUUCACUAAAAUUAUUUGAGGAAGCCAUGGAAAAAAUGAAACAUGGCAUUUUUUGUUAGCUCUUGCUCUGCACUGCUAUUAUGGAUGAUAAUUUAUUUUAGGUACAUUAAUAAGCUACCUGGUUGAUUAACCAUAAAGCAGAAUAUGGCAUCAUUGCUCCUUUUACUGUUACUCAUGCAAAUCACAGGCAGCAGCUGAUGGAGUCAAUCUGUGCAAUUUUAACCCUUCUUAACCAGACAUUUUAGCAGGGAUGUACACAUUUUGCUGACUAACAGUAGACUUCUGUGUGUCACUGCCUUAAGUACAUCCUUAAGUGGGUUGCCCAACUGUGGCCCAAAGAUGUUGCUUGGGUUGUUCAAAAGGUUGCAAGACUAACUUCUUAGGUGAGAGCCUGGCAACACUAGGAAGAUGCUUCACCAAUUGCAGCAAUUAACAAAUAUGUCAGUGAAGCAGAAGAUGGAAGUUGUACAGAUGAUCACAUAGAUCUCUCAUAUGAGAUACAAAGUUCAAAAUGUAAUUAAUUUUUUUUUCUUUACAAUCUACCUCUUCUAGUGUCUCUCCUAAAUCACAUUUUAAAGGGCAAAUGACACCACAAAGAAUGAGUGACUGCCUUUAUAUAAUUCUUCCAGGUAUACCAGCUUGAUGAGAGUAGUUUGUAGUCUUUGCACCAUUUUAUCAGUUUAAAAAAUGUUCAAGAAAGAAUCUAGAUCAGUGAAAAGACUAUUUUACUGCUACAGUUCCAAAAGGAGAUUGGAAAAUUUUUAAAGAAGCAAUCAUUAGUAGCAUAACAGUUUAUAUCCCUGUUCAGAAAGAAUGGUUCACUAGAGCAAAAUUUAAAAGAAAACAACAAAAAACGCAGAAAGAGCUACUGGACAAAAUCACACACUCAGUGUUUGACAGGCAUUUUCAGCAGCUCAGAGGGCUGUAGAAGGUAUAUUUUCCAUUCAAACAGAAUACUACAAUUAGGAAAAACAAUAAUAGGAGCUUACUGAUGACACUAAUUUUGCAGUGCUUUUAAUGUUUUAGUUAAGCACGUAAAUGAUAACGGUAAUGAUACAAACCAGAGCCUGAACAAGAAGAGGCAGAGACUUUCUAAGCCCUUGGCUCCCAGUCCUCACCCACCAGUUCCCAUUGCAGACCUCCACGCUGCACCCGCUGACUUUGUCUUUUGACUGAAACUCAUUUCUCAGUCUCAGUUCCCAGCCUCUUGUCCCUAUUCUGCUCAACAACCCUCACUUGUAUUUUCCUAGCACAUCACCAUACAAUUUCUCACCUCCUAACUGAUUUUGCAAUUCUCUCAACACCUGUGCAGUCUCCCAUCUUUUCUCUUCAGCAAAACUGUCCUGCAGUUUAAUCUGCCUGGCUUCCUCACAUAGCUAAUUUCAGUUUUCCCUGGGAUCAUUGUUAUUCAGCAUCUUCCUUCCUUCCUUCCUACACCUCCCCAGUCUCAUUAUCUUGCAGUGACAGUCUCCUGCAGGUUCCUCAUCCCCCUCCAUAGCUGGCUUUCUGUCUUGCUGGUGCUUUUUUCAGAGCAUCCCGACCGAACCCAUGUCCCUUUAGGGACCCGUUAAGUUACUUGAUCAGGGCAUCCAGAGCAGUACAGCCAACCACUUGCCUUCUCCUUUCUGGUCUUAUCUCCUCCCAUUACACCUCUGCACCUCAGUGGCACUGCAGAACUCUUUGGGUCUAUCAGUGUCCCCAAGCUGAGGUACGUAACCACAAAAGCUCGGGGAAUGAAAUGAGACAGACAGGAAAGGACUUCUGAAGAAUUACUGUUAGGCAUCAACAAAUGGCAAACUUUGAAUAGAUUAUGUGAUUGAGGAGUACUUGGCAUAUAUUGUUAACAGCAGGAAAAGAUACAUCCUGACAAAAUCUAGACCUGUUCAAAGAAAAGAUCAAAACACUCCACUUUGAGUAAGAAAACGUUCAUUUCUGUAAAUUCCUUUUUUUUUCAGAAAGGCUAAACACUGUUUUUCACUUGCCUGCAGGGUUUUGACUUCAGACAAAAGCAGAUAGCUGACAUAGAUGUUUUCAGCCAAAAUGAUUACAGUUUUGGAAAACUUGCAACUCACUUGAAACACAGUUUUACACAGAAAUAAUAUAUAACAUAGCCUGUGUGUUCAGUUUUGUCAGCAGUGUUAAAGCUCAGAUUCAGGUAAGUUUUAAAUGGCAAAAGCACAAGGAUAUAUGCAACUACAAAUGUUAAUCCAUAAGUGAUAUAUACAUAGUAUAUGAGAAUAUCUCUUCCUGAAGCAGAAACACUGCUUUUAAAGGAAAUACUAGCACUGCUUCUUGUCAGCAAUGGAAAGUCAGGAAAAUAGCAGCAAAACUUAGCCAGCCUCAUAUGAGAUUGAUUUCUAGCAUCAGGCUUAUAAAUGCAGAGAAGAAUUCUCCACUACUGUUGUAAAAGGAAAUCUGACACCUUUGUACAUGUAAAUCCUGCUGCUGAUUUUAGAGAAGCUAUUGGAAGUUAAAUAAUUAUUUCAGCUUUAGAUUCAGAUUCGCAAGAAAAGUAUAAUGCUGUAACAGAUAGGGACAGAACUACAACAAUACAAUCAAGUUAUAUCUACCACAGUAACCCUGCAUAAAUAUUCUGUUGUGCUGAGAUGUGUGACAUUACAGUACAGAACAUUUAACGACUGUUUCUACACUUCCAGCACCCUAGCAAGCAAGAGGUAAGAAGGGUAAAGAUUCUGGGACUGUAGCCCAACAUAUUUGCCAGCGUACAAAACUUGCUCAAGCUCAGAAGGCUGUGAAGCUGUCAGGCUCCAUUCUGAGCUCUGCUGCAGAUUACCUUUGCAACCCCUGGCUUAUAACUUGAUCUGAAUACAAAUGCAGUCACACUAGCUGCCUGAGCACAUGGUGCUUCCAGGGAAAAAGCAUUUGCCAAAGGAAGGAGAUGUGGAGAUAUUAUGGACUACAUUACAAUCCCGAUGGCACAAAAUUGUUAACCCACAGCUCCAGUUUGAGUUAAUCAGAUCUUCAAAUAGUUACUCUCCUCUAUGACAAACAAACAAAUAAAUAAAUAAAAAUCAAGCUAGAACAGUUUCUUUGCUGCAGUUUCACAUAUGUAAUUCUGCAAUAAACACCACCUCCUUCCAUGCUGAAGGCAAGACUAUUGGUGUUUGAAUUGAGCAGGAUACAGCAGUGAGAAAAUCUGUAAAUAACUACCUAGGUAAAGACAGAAAUACUUGGAAAAAAAAUUUUGAUUUCUUGGAGAAAGAAGUAUGUCAUAUGCAGAUUGUAAAUGUCAUGUUAAAAGGGCUAGCUCACCACAUUUCAUCUUGUUAGUAUCCUACAUGGUUCUGAGAAUCUGCUCCUUUGUGUAAAGUCUGUAAAUAUGGAAAUCUGUAUUCUUCUUCUCUUGAUUUGUACUUGAACUUGAUUUGUACACUUGGAAAAACAAAUCUAAAUAUACAGCCUGAAUAAACUCAGUGAGCAGCCUACCUUGCAGUUUCAUGGUUGCAUUGUGUUUCUGUUAGUUUUUCCACUAAGGCUUUCCCUUAGAACUGGCCUGUCACUAAUUCAGACUCAGUU
This is a non-coding RNA of Phasianus colchicus (ring-necked pheasant), 7959 nucleotides long. The record is from RefSeq and is a predicted model, not a curated record. NCBI's taxonomy places the organism in Eukaryota, Metazoa, Chordata, Aves, Galliformes, Phasianidae.